GGAUUAGGCAUGCAAGUCGAACGAGGAUAUGUCCUUCGGGAUAUAAGCCGAGUGGCGCAAGGGUGAGUAAUGCAUAGAUUACCUGCCUUUAGGAUAAGGACAACUUUGUGAAAACGAAGCUAAUACUUAAUAACACAAAAGGGAAUAAUUUUCUUUUGUCAAAUGGAGGGUAGCAAUAUCUUUCGCCUAAAGAGGGGUUUAUGUCCUAUCAGCUUGUUGGUGGGGUAAUGGCCUACCAAGGCGAAGACGGGUAGCCGGCCUUAGAGGGUGGUCGGCCACACUGGGACUGAGACACUGCCCAGACUUCUACGGAAGGCUGCAGUCGAGAAUCUUCCACCAAUGCGCGAAAGCGUGAUGGAGCGACGCCGCGUGGGCGAUGAAGGCCUUCGGGUUGUAAAGCCCUGUUGGAUGGGCGUAAUCCCCUCGGGUUAAUACCCCUGAGGGUUGAACUCCCAUCGGAGGAAGCACCGGCUAAAUUCGUGCCAGCAGCCGCGGUAAUACGAAUGGUGCGAGCGUUGUUCGGAAUCACUGGGCAUAAAGAGCACGUAGGCGGCCUCGUAAGUCAGCUGUGAAAUCCCCCGGCUCAACCGGGGAACUGCAGCUGAUACUGCGGGGCUAGAGUGCGCGAGGGGAGAGCGGAAUUCCUGGUGGAGCGGUGAUAUGCGUAGAUAUCAGGAGGAACGCCGGAGGCGAAAGCGGCUCUCUGGCGCGCAACUGACGCUGAGGUGCGAAAGCUAGGGGAGCGAACAGGAUUAAUUACCCUGGUAGUCCUAGCCGUAAACGAUGGGCACUAAGUAGAGGGGUUUU
RNAcentral lists this ribosomal RNA (807 nucleotides) under uncultured Planctomycetota bacterium. Its description in RNAcentral is "bacterial SSU rRNA". It matches the Rfam family "Bacterial small subunit ribosomal RNA", at positions 46 to 832 of the family's 1533-position model. The record is from RNAcentral. Lineage: Bacteria; Pseudomonadati; Planctomycetota.